This 545-nucleotide ribosomal RNA is filed under the name uncultured bacterium. Its description in RNAcentral is "bacterial SSU rRNA". It matches the Rfam family "Bacterial small subunit ribosomal RNA", at positions 773 to 1319 of the family's 1533-position model. The record is from RNAcentral.
ACGUAAUAGAUACCCGGGUAGUCCACGCCCUAAACGAUGUCUACUAGUUGUCGGGUCUUAAUUGACUUGGUAAACGCAGCUAAACGCGUGAAAGUAGACCGCCUGGGGAGUACGGUCGCAAGAUUAAAACUCAAAGGAAUUGACGGGGACCCGCACAAGCGGUGGAUGAUGUGGAUUAAUUCGAUGCAACGCGAAAAACCUUACCUACCCUUGACAUGGAUGGAAUCCUUGAGAGAUUGAGGAGUGCCCGAAAGGGAACCAUUACACAGGUGCUGCAUGGCUGUCGUCAGCUCGUGUCGUGAGAUGUUGGGUUAAGUCCCGCAACGAGCGCAACCCUUGUCAUUAGUUGCUACGAAAGGGCACUCUAAUGAGACUGCCGGUGACAAACCGGAGGAAGGUGGGGAUGACGUCAAGUCCUCAUGGCCCUUAUGGGUAGGGCUUCACACGUCAUACAAUGGUACAUACAGAGGGCCGCCAACCCGCGAGGGGGUAGCUAAUCUCAGAAAGCCGAUCGUAGUCCGGAUUGUUCUCUGCAACUCGAGAGC